This 27-nucleotide non-coding RNA is filed under the name Homo sapiens (human). Lineage: Eukaryota; Metazoa; Chordata; Mammalia; Primates; Hominidae. The record is from RNAcentral.
UGGGACUUAGUAGAAGCAGGCCGCUCC